GACGAACGCUGGCGGCGUGCUUAACACAUGCAAGUCGAACGGAAAGGCCUGCUUUCCCUUGUGGAUUGCGGGUACUCGAGUGGCGAACGGGUGAGUAACACGUGAGUGAUCUGCCCCCAACUUGGGUAUAAGCCUGGGAAACUGGGUCUAAUUCCCGAUAGGACUGCAGGGUGGUGCCUGUGGUGGAAAACGAUUUUCUAGUGGUUGGGGAUGAGCUCGCGGCCUAUCAGCUUGUUGGUGGGGUAAUGGCCUACCAAGGCGGCGACGGGUAGCCGGCCUGAGAGGGUGGACGGCCACAUUGGGACUGAGAUACGGCCCAAACUCCUACGGGAGGCAGCAGUGGGGAAUAUUACACAAUGGGCGGAAGCCUGAUGCAGCGACGCCGCGUGGGGGAUGACGGCCUUCGGGUUGUAAACUCCUUUCGACCGCGAGGAAGCCACCUGGUUGGAAGGGUGGUGACGGUAGUGGUAGAAGAAGCACCGGCUAACUACGUG
RNAcentral lists this ribosomal RNA (494 nucleotides) under uncultured bacterium. Its description in RNAcentral is "partial 16S ribosomal RNA". It matches the Rfam family "Bacterial small subunit ribosomal RNA", at positions 28 to 507 of the family's 1533-position model. The record is from RNAcentral.